Molecule: long non-coding RNA, 2940 nt
Filed under: Oryzias sinensis (Chinese medaka)
Lineage: Eukaryota; Metazoa; Chordata; Actinopteri; Beloniformes; Adrianichthyidae
Description: lncRNA (ENSOSIG00000021607.1)
Source: RNAcentral
AUGGAUGAAGAAACUGCUACAGAUUCCUCCCCUGGGGACGCAGUGUCUUCCAGAGACCCGGGGGAGUUCGAUGAGGAUGAAGAAAUUCACGACUUUGAGAGAAGACAAUCUCCCGAUCUGGGAGAGACCCCUAUGGACACCCUGGUUUGGCAUCAUGUGGACCAGGCGUUGACUCCAGCUCAGAGCUACACAUCGAUGUCUAGUCAAAGGGAAUCUGAUGUGGAUGGAGACAGUGAAUCCAUUACAGGGGUGAAGCUGGACAGAACCGGUUCGUUCUCCAGCUGCUACUCUUAUGACAGCGAUGACUGUGAGAAGAAAACAAGCAAGUCUAGAAGUUCAGAUGACUCCUCUGAGAGCCCUAAAACAAAUGAGUUAACCCUGGACGAGAACGAGUUCAAGCAUCCGUCUUUGACAGUGGCUUUCACUUUCACGUGACUUGGAGAUCAAGCUUUUGCAGCAACAACAUGAAGCAGACCUGUUUUGAACCCCGUCCUCCUUCACAAGUACCUACAGUCGGGACCAUAAAUAUCUGGACAGAGAGCCCUUUUUUUCUGAUUUUGUUUCUGUACAUUACCACAGUGAAUUUUAAAUAAACUCAGAUGCCAUUGAAGUGCAGACUUUCAGAUUUUAUUCCAUGGGUUGAACAAAAAGAUUGCAUAAAAAUGUGAAAACCUAAAGCAUUUUUAAACACAAUCCCUUCAUUUCAUGGGCUCAUAAGUAAUUGGACAAUUGACUUCCAUGCUAUUGCAUGGGCAGGUGUGGGCAAUUCCCUUGUUAUGUCAUAAUGAGUGAAGCAGAUAAAAGGCCUGGAGUUGAUUAGAGGACUCAUGCUUGCAUUUUGAAGAUUUUGCUGUGAACAGACAACAAGCGGUCAAAGGAGCUCUCCAUGCAGGUGAAAGGAGCCAUCAUUAAGCUGAGAAAACAGAAAGGAAAAAAAACAUUCCAGAAAUUGCUACAGUAUUAGAAGUGGCAAAAUCAACAGUGUGGUACAUCCUGAGAAAGAAAGAAAGCACUGAUGAACUCAGCAACGCAAAAAGACCUGGACGUCCACAGUGACAACAGUGGUGGAUGAUGGCAGAAUCAUUUCUAUGGUGAAGAGGAACCGUUCACAACAGCCAACCAAGUGAACAACACUUUCCAGGAGGUAGGCGUAUCAAUAUCCAAGUCUACCAUCAAAAGAAGACUGCAUGAAAGUAGCCAGCACAGUUCUGGAAAAACAUUCUUUGGACAGAUGAAACCAAAAUCAACCUCUACCAGAAUGAUGGCAAGAGAAAAGUAUGGAAAAGGUGUGGAGAAGCUCAUGAUCCAAAGCACACUACAUCAUCAGUAAAACACUGUGGAGGCAGUGUGAUGGUCUGGGCGUGCAUGGCUGCUAGUGGCACUGGGACACUGGUGUUUAUUGAUGACGUGACACAGGACAGAAGUAGCCCAAUGAAUUCUGAGGUGUUCAGAGACAUACUGUCUGCGCAGAUCCAGGUGAAUGCAGCCAAACUGAUUGGGCGGUAUUUCAUAAUACAAAUGGACAACGACCCAAAACAAACAACCAAAGCAACUCAGGAGUUUAUUAAAGCAAAGAAGUGGAAUAUUCUUGAAUGGCCAAGUCAGUCACCUGAUCUUAAACCAGUUGAGCAUUUCACUUGUUGAAGACUAAAUUCCGGACAGAAAGGCCCACAAACAAACAGCAACUGAAAGCCGCUGGAGUAAAAGGCCUGGCAGAGCAUUCAGAAGGAGAAAACCCAGCAUCUGGUGAUGUCCAUGACUUCAAGACUUCAGGCUAUCAUUGUCAACAAAGGCUUUUACACCAAAUAUUAGUAAUGAACAUUUUGUUUUCAGUUAUUUCAUUUGUCCGAUUACUUAUGAGCCCAUGAAAUGAAGGGAUUGUGUUUAAAAUAUGCUUUAGUUUUUCAUAUUUUUAUGCAAUCUUUUUGUUCAACCCAUGGAAUAAAAGCUGAAAGUCUGCACUUCAAUGGCAUCUGAGUUGUUUUAUUUAAAAUUCCCUGUGGUAAUGUACAGAAUCUAAAUUAGAAAGAAUGUGUCUCUGUCCAAAUAUUUAUGGUACUGACUAUAUCAAUUACUUUUUUGUUUAUUUUCUACAUUAUCAAAUGUAUAUUUAUUUGCUGCAGUGAGAAAAAUCUUGCUGCAUAAACAGAUCCUCAGUACAUCCAAACUAAACCCAAAUAUUACAAUUCCUCUGCCGUGCCUUUACAGUAGGGAGUAUACACAGACAUGCAUCAAGUGAAUUAAUACCUUUAAUUUACAAAUUAUUUACCACAAGCAUAAUCGAACAAUAGGACUAGUUACUUUAGUAUUUAGUAGACGUUCCUUUUGCAAUUUGUAAUUAAACCUUUUUUCUUUUUUGGCUUUUAGCCGAUGAGCUUCGUCAGCAGCUUUUAAAUAGUUCUCAUUAAACAGGAAAUCUUCCUCACCGGGGGGCCAGAUAGGGCGGGUCAAAAGUCUGUUGAUUUUUUUUUUUCCUUUGGCCUUUGAACAUAGACUGUAAAAACGAUGGACGAAUCGAGAUGUGAUGUCACCCAUUGAAAAUGCCUUACCUCCGGCUCGCGCCAAAUGAGGCCAAAUCCCUCACCACUGCAUCCUGAUACGAGCGCCGCCAUAUUGAAACCAGUCAACAGUAAUCAUUCCAAGACUCUUUGAAUCAUCGUAUGGCAACUACUGUCGCCAAACAGGAGUGAGCUUAUUGUGAGUCCCCACUUCUUUCCACGCUGUUACCUCUUUGAACGCUGCGUUUCAGUUGACUAUGAAAUUCUGUAAAUUGGAUUUGCGAUACUAAAUCCCUAAUGAAAACACGUCAAUUCGGAAAAAACUUGAAUUUAUCAAAAACAAGUUUUUGCGCUUGGAGGAGGUUGUUUUUGAGGCCUAUCAAAAUGGAUGUAUUUCACAAAACUGCAAUGGAAACACAUUUUUUUAAUUUUAGAAUUAAAU